RNAcentral lists this transfer RNA (67 nucleotides) under Planctomycetota bacterium. Its description in RNAcentral is "tRNA-Val". RNAcentral also lists the same sequence under 1 other name. Lineage: Bacteria; Pseudomonadati; Planctomycetota. The record is from RNAcentral.
UGGUUAUGUGGUGAUGGCCGCCUGCUCGACACGCAGGAGGUCGUAGGUUCAAGUCCUAUACCGCCCA